GAGUCUGAAGGCAGGAAAAGACUGAUGUCCCAUCUCAAAGCAGUCAGGCAGAGGGAGUUCCCUCUUGUUCUCACUCAAGGAAGGCAUCUCUUGCAAAAGCCCAGCUCCUAGAGAGCAGGAGCCUUCCCAGACUGUGUCAAAUUACCUCGGGGAUGGAGAGACUUACAUGGCAUUAAUAGAAAUCAAAUGGCAGAGCUCGGGUUUCUGAUGAGUCUCCUGAGGUUCAGAAGGGUGAGAUGACACAUUCAAGGUCACAUGGCUCAUUUGUGUUGGAGUCAGAAGUUUCCAGAUUUCUUGACUUUUAGUCCAAGGAGCAGUCCCUGUGCAUGUGUCAGAGUUGAACAAGCCAGCUGGACUGAGUGCCCAUGACCUCAGGGACAUCUUGGAAGCUAUAUGUAGAAGAUGGAAAAGCCUCUGUCAUCUCCAUCAAUUUAAUCUCCAAAUAACUACUUAGAAAAGGGACAGCUUACUAACUCCUUCAUUGCCCAGUACUAUUAGCUAAAAACAUUAUAACAGGAGAUUCAAAUUCUACAUGGUGGGAGCAAAAGUGGAUCUUGUUUUUCUAUAGCAACAUGGUUGACCUUCAUAGUGAAGUUUGAAUCUGACAGCAUUCAUGCUCAAAUGUCCAAGCCCUGCAUUUCUGAUACCAUGGAAUCACAAGCACGCUGUGUGAUACUGUGCAGCAUUUGAUCCUGCCUGACUUCUGUGUCUCAGCCUAUCAACGAAGAUAUUUAUAGCUGCCUUAUGCCAACGUACUUUUUAAAGCUGGGUAAUACCAGUGUAAGAUGGUCACAUUUAUCUUGAAAGCCGAGGAACCCCCUUUCCUCUACAAAACUCCUAAAGAAUAGAUAAUUGUCUAUAUUUCUUCAAAUCUUUGGCAUCCCGGAAGUACCUUGAAUAAAUCAUCAAGUUUUAGG
This is a long non-coding RNA of Homo sapiens (human), 917 nucleotides long. Ensembl annotates it as long intergenic non-protein coding RNA 2380. The record is from Ensembl. Lineage: Eukaryota; Metazoa; Chordata; Mammalia; Primates; Hominidae.